UACGGAGUUAGCCGGAGCUUAUUCUCCAGGUACUGUCAUUAUCAUCCCUGGUAAAGAGCUUUACAACCCUAAGGCCUUCAUCACUCACGCGGCAUUGCUGGAUCAGGCUUUCGCCCAUUGUCCAAUAUUCCCCACUGCUGCCUCCCGUAGGAGUCUGGGCCGUGUCUCAGUCCCAGUGUGGCUGAUCAUCCUCUCAGACCAGCUAAAGAUCGUCGCCUUGGUAGGCCUUUACCCCACCAACUAGCUAAUCUUACGCGGGCUCAUCCUUGGGCGAUAAAUCUUUGGUCCGAAGACAUUAUACGGUAUUAGCACAAAUUUCUCUGAGUUAUUCCGUACCCAAGGGCAGAUUCCCACGCGUUACGCACCCGUGCGCCACUAAGUCCGAAGACUUCGUUCGACUUGCAUGUGUUAGGCAUGCCGCCAGCGUUCGUUCUGAGCCAGGAUCAAACUCU
RNAcentral lists this ribosomal RNA (452 nucleotides) under uncultured Sphingopyxis sp. RNAcentral's name for it is "partial 16S ribosomal RNA". The record is from RNAcentral. Lineage: Bacteria; Pseudomonadati; Pseudomonadota; Alphaproteobacteria; Sphingomonadales; Sphingopyxidaceae.